UGAACGCUGGCGGCAGGCCUACCACAUGCACGUCGAGCGGAUGAAGGGAGCUUGCUCCUGGAUUCAGCGGCGGACGGGUGAGUAAUGCCUAGGAAUCUGCCUGGUAGUGGGGGAUAACGUCCGGAAACGGGCGCUAAUACCGCAUACGUCCUGAGGGAGAAAGUGGGGGAUCUUCGGACCUCACGCUAUCAGAUGAGCCUAGGUCGGAUUAGCUAGUUGGUGGGGUAAAGGCCUACCAAGGCGACGAUCCGUAACUGGUCUGAGAGGAUGAUCAGUCACACUGGAACUGAGACACGGUCCAGACUCCUACGGGAGGCAGCAGUGGGGAAUAUUGGACAAUGGGCGAAAGCCUGAUCCAGCCAUGCCGCGUGUGUGAAGAAGGUCUUCGGAUUGUAAAGCACUUUAAGUUGGGAGGAAGGGCAGUAAGUUAAUACCUUGCUGUUUUGACGUUACCAACAGAAUAAGCACCGGCUAACUUCGUG
RNAcentral lists this ribosomal RNA (482 nucleotides) under uncultured bacterium. RNAcentral describes it as "partial 16S ribosomal RNA". It matches the Rfam family "Bacterial small subunit ribosomal RNA", at positions 30 to 507 of the family's 1533-position model. The record is from RNAcentral.